Molecule: ribosomal RNA, 441 nt
Filed under: uncultured bacterium
Lineage: Bacteria
Description: partial 16S ribosomal RNA
Rfam family: Bacterial small subunit ribosomal RNA
Source: RNAcentral
CCUACGGGUGGCAGCAGUGGGGAAUAUUGCACAAUGGGGGAAACCCUGAUGCAGCGACGCCGCGUGAGUGAAGAAGUAUUUCGGUAUGUAAAGCUCUAUCAGCAGGGAAGAAGAAAGACGGUACCUGACUAAGAAGCCCCGGCUAACUACGUGCCAGCAGCCGCGGUAAUACGUAGGGGGCAAGCGUUAUCCGGAUUUACUGGGUGUAAAGGGAGCGUAGACGGCUGGGCAAGUCUGAGGUGAACGCCCAGGGCUCAACCCUGGGACUGCUUUGGAAACUGUGGAGCUAGAGUGCUGGAGAGGUCAGUGGAAUUCCUAUUGUAGCGGUGAAAUGCGUAGAUAUUAGGAGGAACACCGGUGGCGAAGGCGGCCUGCUGGACUGUGACUGACGUUGAGGCCCGAAGGCGUGGGGAGCAAACAGGAUUAGAUACCCCGGUAGUC